GCCCAGAUGGGAUUAGCUAGUAGGUGGGGUAACGGCUCACCUAGGCGACGAUCCCUAGCUGGUCUGAGAGGAUGACCAGCCACACUGGAACUGAGACACGGUCCAGACUCCUACGGGAGGCAGCAGUGGGGAAUAUUGCACAAUGGGCGCAAGCCUGAUGCAGCCAUGCCGCGUGUAUGAAGAAGGCCUUCGGGUUGUAAAGUACUUUCAGCGGGGAGGAAGGGAGUAAGGUUWAAUCCCCUUGUUCAUUGACGUUACCCGCAGAAGAAGCACCGGCUAACUCCGUGCCAGCAGCCGCGGUAAUACGGAGGGUGCAAGCGUUAAUCGGAAUUACUGGGCGUAAAGCGCACGCWAGGCGGUCUGUCAAGUCGGAUGUGVAAAYCCCCGGGCUCAACCUGGGGAACUGCAUCCGAAACUGGCAGGCUUGAGUCUCGUAGAGGGAGGUAGAAUUCCAGGUGUAGCGGUGAAAUGCGUAGAGAUCUGGAGGAAUACCGGUGGCGAAGGCGGCCUCCUGGACGAAGACUGACGCUCAGGUGCGAAAGGUUWUAGAGAUCUGGAAU
RNAcentral lists this ribosomal RNA (560 nucleotides) under Enterobacter sp. ICBR 123. RNAcentral describes it as "bacterial SSU rRNA". It matches the Rfam family "Bacterial small subunit ribosomal RNA", at positions 229 to 779 of the family's 1533-position model. Lineage: Bacteria; Pseudomonadati; Pseudomonadota; Gammaproteobacteria; Enterobacterales; Enterobacteriaceae. The record is from RNAcentral.